AGAGAAUAGAUACCCUGGUAGUCCACGCCCUAAACGAUGUCGACUGGUUGUUGGGGGUUUGACACUCUCAGUAAACGAAAGCUAAACGCGUGAAGUCGACCGCCUGGGGAGUACGGCCGCAAGGUUAAAACUCAAAGGAAUUGACGGGGACCCGCACAAGCGGUGGAUUAUGUGGAUUAAUUCGAUGCAACGCGAAAAACCUUACCUACCCUUGACAUGUCCGGGAGCCUGCUGAGAGGCGGGUGUGCUCGAAAGAGAACCGGAACACAGGUGCUGCAUGGCUGUCGUCAGCUCGUGUCGUGAGAUGUUGGGUUAAGUCCCGCAACGAGCGCAACCCUUGCCAUUAGUUGCCACCCGUAAGGGGGCACUCUAAUGGGACUGCCGGUGACAAACCGGAGGAAGGUGGGGAUGACGUCAAGUCCUCAUGGCCCUUAUGGGUAGGGCUUCACACGUAAUACAAUGGCGCGUACAGAGGGUUGCCAAGGAGCGAUCUGGAGCCAAUCCCGUAAAGCGCGUCGUAGUCCGGAUUGCAGUCUGCAACUCGACUGC
RNAcentral lists this ribosomal RNA (549 nucleotides) under uncultured bacterium. RNAcentral's name for it is "bacterial SSU rRNA". It matches the Rfam family "Bacterial small subunit ribosomal RNA", at positions 774 to 1319 of the family's 1533-position model. The record is from RNAcentral.